RNAcentral lists this ribosomal RNA (159 nucleotides) under uncultured Thelephoraceae. Its description in RNAcentral is "5.8S ribosomal RNA". It matches the Rfam family "5.8S ribosomal RNA". Rfam says of the family: 5.8S ribosomal RNA (5.8S rRNA) is a component of the large subunit of the eukaryotic ribosome. It is transcribed by RNA polymerase I as part of the 45S precursor that also contains 18S and 28S rRNA. Lineage: Eukaryota; Fungi; Basidiomycota; Agaricomycetes; Thelephorales; Thelephoraceae. The record is from RNAcentral.
CAACUUUCAGCAACGGAUCUCUUGGCUCUCGCAUCGAUGAAGAACGCAGCGAAAUGCGAUAAGUAAUGUGAAUUGCAGAAUUCAGUGAAUCAUCGAAUCUUUGAACGCACCUUGCGCCCCUUGGAUAUUCCUCGGGGCAUGCCUGUUUGAGUAUCAUGA